Molecule: small nuclear RNA, 127 nt
Organism: Lemur catta (Ring-tailed lemur)
Lineage: Eukaryota; Metazoa; Chordata; Mammalia; Primates; Lemuridae
Source: RefSeq, a predicted model, not a curated record
GUGCUGUAGGAAAGAAAAGAUUAGCACUCCCCUGGACACGGUAGAAGAGGCCUCAGGCCGGCACAGUAUGCGUAUAGUUAAGGCAUUGCUGCCUGCUUCAUGGCGUUUUCUGCAUCUAAGUAUAUGC